Non-coding RNA from Momordica charantia (bitter melon), 163 nucleotides. The record is from RefSeq and is a predicted model, not a curated record. Lineage: Eukaryota; Viridiplantae; Streptophyta; Magnoliopsida; Cucurbitales; Cucurbitaceae.
UCUAGGUUACCCACACCUAUACGAAGUCGAUUUUGGGUGCCUAGGUGUGAGAUCGACGCCAAACUUAAGAGCGCGGUUGUGUGUGUGAACGAGGUCGACCGCGGUGAUGAUGUGAAGAGGGCUUGACCGAGGAAGGAUCACUAGCUUAGUUAGUGAGGAUAGG